UGCGAUAAUCUCCUGUUUUCCAUCGCUCCUAACACCACCACCACCUCACACCACCUCUAUACCACCCCGAAAAUCAAUUAACCACACACUAAUACCCUCACUAACACCACGGAGCCCCGAAACACCACAAAAAUACCACAAAACCAGAAAUGCUAAUAUGUCCGUGUGUUUGGGUUGUCCCCGAGACGUGUACGGAGACGGCGUGGUUAUCAUUUUUGCGUUUUUUUUGGCACUUCUAAGCUUCUGAGGCACAUGAGGACCUGGUGACAUGUUGGUGGCACUCCUCUGGCCCUGUGUGCGGUGCCAUUCGAGGUGAUGGAGUUCCAGAAGGGAGGGAAAUAGGGGUAGAUUAGUGGGUCUGUCCCCGCCGCCCCUGACAGCCACUGUUUAGAAGAUUGGGAGCGUAAGAGGAGGGUGAAGAACACACUCCCGUCACUGGCAUCCACACACACACAGCACCAUCACCACCAUGGCCCAAGCUGGUGAGGAGAUGGCCCAUGUUACCCUCACCAACGGCCUCCUGGAGAGUGGCGUGGAGCGUGCCAUGGUGCAGCUGGGGCCGGAGAUGGUGGAGGAGCGGAUAGAGAUGGUGGAGCAGGACCUGGCGCAGAUGGUGGAGGUGGAGGAGGAGGUGGUGGUGGGCCGAGGUGUGAUGCAGCAGAUCUCCAACGGGGUGACCAGCAUUAUCAAGAAGGAGGAGGAGCUGGAGCAUGAGGCUGAAGAGGAAGCAUUAGAACCUGACCCUGAGAGCACAGUCGCUGAUGAAGAGGAGGAAGAGGACGAGGAGGAGGAGGAGGAGGAAGAGGAGGAGGACGGAGCUGGGGAGAUCUCUAUUAAGCAGGAGAAGGGGAAGAAGGUGCAGAGGGGGAGGAAGAGGAGGAAGAGGCGCCUCACCUUCACGCCGAGGAAGCUCAACAAGAUAUACGAAUGUGACCAGUGCCCGGCAAGGUUCGCCCGUGACACCCAGCUCAAGUACCACGCCAAGGUCCACCUCAAUGACCAGACUGAGAAGUUUGAGUGUGACCAGUGCCACGUUGUGUUCUCCCGCAUGAACAAGCUGAUGAGGCACCGUCAGCACACCCACCAGGAGGCUCUGUCCUGCGAACACUGCAACUCACAGUUCACGCACAUCAACAGCUAUCGCCUGCACAUGCGUCUGCACAGCGGGGAGAAGCCGUAUGGGUGCAAUGAGUGUGGGGCGCGGUUUGUGCAGAGCAGCCACCUCAACAUCCACAAGCGCUCGCACACCGGGGAGAAGCCGUACCAGUGUGACGUGUGCAAGCAGUCCUUCAAGCAGAUCUCCCACCUCAGGACACACGAGCGCAUCCACACCCAGCUCAAGCCCUACAUCUGCCCCAUGUGCAACGCCGCCUUCAUCCAGAAGAGCAGCCUCAACCGCCACAGCCGCAUCCACACCGGGGAGAAGCCGUACGUGUGUCUGGUGUGCCAGGCGGCCUUCUGCGUCAAGAACAACCUCACCCGCCACAUGAUCACCCACACCGGGGAGCAGCCCUACAAGUGUGACCUCUGCCCCGCCUCCUUCGGCCAGGCCAUCGACCUCAAGCGCCACAAGAUCGCCCACACCGGGGUCAAGCCUUUCCAGUGCGACGUGUGCGACGCCGCCUUCAGCCGCAAGAACAACCUCAAGUGGCACAAGUACAGCCACACGGGGGAGACGCCUUUCAAGUGCGACGAGUGCUUCGCCGAGUACGCCCGGCCCAGGGACCUCAAGAAGCACAAGCUGAGCCACGGCCCAGCCAAGCCACACGUGUGCCAGGUGUGCAGCCAGCACUUUGCCCAGGCCAGUGCCUUCCGCCGCCACAUGAUGGGCCACACCGGGGAGAAGGGCUUCCAGUGUGACAAGUGCUUCGCAGACUUUCUGGACAAGAGUGCCCUCAAGAGGCACAUGUACAAGCACGUGGGUGCCAAGCCUUACAACUGCAAGCGCUGCAGCGCCAUGUUCAGGGAGUACCGCAGCCUCAAGCGCCACUGCCAGCAGAUGCACGGCGAGGAGCCGCCCCUGCUGGAACAGGCGGCUCAGCAGCAGCAGCCCCAGCCCCAGCAGCAGCCCCAGCAGCAGCAGCAGCAGCAGCAGCAAGUCCAGCAGCAGCAGGUCGCUGUCCCGGCCGGCACCAUCAUUGCGGACCCCAGCGUGCUGCCCCAGUUCAACCACCCAGGGCAGCCCCAGGCAGCCACCAGUCAGCAGAUGGCCCCGGUGCCCACCCUCAUGCUGUCCGGCGGCCCCGGCCAGCCCGCCCGUGCUGCCCGGCCUGCCAACAACUGCCAGAACCACACGGCGCACGUCCUCACCUUUGGCGGCAACAACCAGUGGCAGUCCUGGUGCUUCUGUGAGACCCCAGCCAUACCCCAGGACGCCCAGCAGCAGCAGCAGCAGCAGGUCAUGGUGACCACCACGCUGCCUGCUGCCACCACACACCACCAGCAGCAGGUGCAGCAACAACAACCUCAACAACAGCAGCAGCAGCAGCAGCAGGCCCAGUCCGCAGCCUUCACCAUGUCCGUGAAGGCCCCGGCCAUGCCCACACAGAUCCAGCUGCAGUUCCCCUUCAACGAGACACAGGCACAGCAGCCCACCACCAGCCACACGCAGCAGUGGGUGUCCAGCUGGACCAAGUAGCCGCCCACACACACACACAGACACACCCACACACCCAUACCAAUGCUGGGAAGGCCCUGGAUAGCCAUCAUCAUCAUUAUCAUUAACAUAAUCAGUGAUCUCAUUUACUGUGAAGGCCUCAGUGUGACAAUAUGGACAAGUGUUGAGGCAAAGACUGUAGCCUCAUGUCUCGGGAAGGCUUGGACACGGAGGGCUGGGGUCAAGAGUGCCGGAGGGGGAGUGAGUGUGUGGUGCCGGACUUGUUCUGGCACCCAGGCGUAAGGAUGUAAGUCAGUGUAGUAGGAUAGGAUUGAUGUGGUGUGGGUGUGGUGGAGUGUAGAUAUAUACCUCAUGUAACAGUGAUUGUGGUGGUGGUGGUGGUGUGUGUGUGGCUCAGUGUGUGUGUGUGUGUGUGUGUGUGUUAUGGGAUGGAGGAAGGGUGGAAGGAAGGAACAGGCAAAAGGAAAAUAAGAAAGAAAGGAAAACAAGAAAGAAAUUAACGCCACUAUUAUCAGAAAAUCUUAUGAAAAGUGCCAUAAAGAAAAAGAAUAAGAAAGAAAGGGCAAGGAUAUCAAGCAGUAACAAGAAAGAAAUUAACACCACUAUCAGGAAAUUAUAUGAAAAGUGCCAUAAAGAAAAAGAAUAAGAAUGAAGGACAAGGAAAUCAAGCAGUACAGCAAAGAGCACAAUUAACCCAGUAGCAGCGGGGAUCAUGUUUCUUAAUGGUCCCUCUAAGCGAGAAAAAUGAGAAAAAAUCACCCCUCACACAAACCAUUUCAUAAUAUAUAUCAAAGCAUUUGUGAUCAGUUUAUGUAUCAUCUAUUUUGGGGGGUUAAAAUCAUGGCACAAAUUUGGCCCGUCGCUGCUGCACGGUAAAGCCACAAAUUUGGCCCGUUGCUGCUACACAGUAAAGCCACAAAUUUGCCCCGUUGCUGCUACACGGUAAAGUCACAAAUUUUGGCCCGUCGCUGUUACACGGUAAAGUCACAAAUUUGGCCCGUUGCUGCUACAUGGUAAAGCCACAAAUUUGGCCCGUCGCUGCUACCAGGUUAUUAAGUAAAGAACUGUCAAGGGUCAAACUAUUUAUUAUCAUUAAAAUAUUACCAGACAGAAAUUGUAUAAUGGAAAAGACUAACCAGAACUAUGUGACCUGAAUAGCAUUGCUGAGGUCAGGGCAAACAGAAUAGGCUUGCUGGGUGCUGAGAGGACUGAGUGGCUCUAUGCUGAGGCCAGAAGGACAGUCAGAGUAACCAUGCUGAAUGCUGAAAAUAAGAGGGACUGACUUGCUUUGAUGUUUUGCUGAGAUCUAAGAGAGUAAUGCUAAGUGCUGAGGUCAGAGAGGGCGGACUUGCUGCCUUGCUGAAACCAGGACAGAGUAACCAUGCUGAGUGCUGAAGGCAGGAGAAACAGGUCUGGCAGCAUGCUGAGGUUGGGACAGACAGAGUACCCAUGCUGAGUGCUGAGAUCAGGACAGUAACAAUGCUGAGUGCUGAAGAUGAGGGGCUGAGGCCAGAAAAACAGAGGAACCAUGCUGAGUGCUGACUUGCUUGGCUGUUUUGCUUCAACCAGGGCAGAGUGACAUUGCUGAGUGCUGAAGGCAGGAAGGAUUGAGAAGCUUUGAUGUGUGCUGAGGCCAGGACAGACAGAGUAACCAUGCUGAGUGCUGACUUGCUUGGCUGUUUUGCUUCACCCAGGACAGAGUAACAUUGCUGAGUGCUGAAGGCAGGAAGAAUUGAGAAGCUUUGAUGUGUGCUGAGGCCAGGACAGACAGAGUAACCAUGCUGAGUGCUGAAGGCAGGAAGGACUGAGAAGCUUCGAUCCAUGCUGAGGCCAGAGGAACAGAGAGUAGCCUUACUGAGUGCUGACUAGCUGACUUGCUGGCUAUUUCGCUGAGGCCAGAGCAGACAGUGUAGCCUUGCUGAGUGCUGAAGACUGGAGGGACUGACUGGCUUCUCUGCAUGCUGAGGCCAGAAGGGGUGGAGUGCUGAGUGCUGAGUCAGGAGAGAGGUGAGUUAUCGUAGUGGGAAGAGAGUGAGUGAGUGAGUGAGAAUUAGGACUCAUCAGGUAUAGUCCUUAUGUGGCAGCUGUCUGGUUAGUAAUAGUAGUAACAGUAGUAGUUGUAGUAGUAGUUGUAGUAGUAGUAGUAGUAGUAGUAGUAGUAGUAGUAGUAGUAGUAGUAGAAGAAGUGAUGUAAUAUGGAUUUGUAAUGUUGAAAGUGGCAGCUAUGGGAAAAUUGUAUCUCUUAACUUAUUUAUUAUUAUUAUUAUUAUUAUUAUUAUUAUUAUUAUUAUUAUUACUACCUUAUUUUUCCUAUGUCCAGAUCUGCCAUAGUUCAUUCAUUGGCAGCCCAGGGAUUGAUUUUAUUCAUAUUAAUACUAUUUAUUAAUUUAUUUAUUUAUUAUUUUUGUCUUGGUGUUGAUUUUUCUACGUCAAAUUAAUUCCAACAGUAUAUUUUCCUUCUCGCUCUUUUAUUUUGCCAUUUGAAGCAGUGAUUUUAUUUUAUUUAUUUUUUAUUAAUUUAUUAUUAUUAUUAUUGGUAUUUUUUGGUAUCAUUUUUCCUCUCAUUUUUCUUUCACCUCCUUCAUAGACGUGCUCAUCGCUUCCUUGGUUCCUGUCAUUAUAUCUAUUUUUUCAUAUUUAUUUUAUUUAUUUGUGUAUUUUUUUUAUCCCUCACUGGCAGGCUCAGAAAACAUAAUCAAAAGUUGUAUAAGAAACGGAAAUGUAGGAAUAUGUGGGCUAUGUUGAGGCAGCUAUGUGGUUGUGUGGGUGUGGUGUGGGUAUGCUGUGCUGUGUGUGGUGUGGAUAUGCUGGUGGUGGUGGUGAUGUGGUGUGUGGGUAUGCUGGAGGUUAUGUGGUCUGGGUAUGUUGCUGGAGAUAGUGAUGGGGGUAUGUUGGUGAUGAUUUAGUGUGGUAUGCUGAUGGUGAUGAUGUGACCUGGGUAUGCUGGCAGUGAUGUGGUGUGGGUAUGCUGAUGAUGUGACCUGGGUAUGCUGAUGGUGAUGAUGUGACCUGGGUAUGCUGGGAGUAAUGUGGUGUGGGUAUGCUGGCGAUGAUGAUGUACUGUGGAUAUGUUGGAGGUAGUAGUGUGGGUAUGCUGGUGAUGGUUAUGAUGUCGCUAUGCUGAACUGCCCAUCAAAGCUGAAUCUAAUCAAAAACUUCAAAUUAAUAAUGAUAACAACAACACUAAUCAUCCUUAUAAGCUUCAAAGUCCAUCAUAAGCUUAGAAUAUACGAUUUGUCAUUUAUAAGAGGGAGAGAGUGAGCGAGUGGGGUUACGUGAAGUACCUUUGAUUCUACGGGCAGCAAAUUUGAUUCUUUAGACCCCUGGUUUGAUGCUAGACAGCAAGCUUGAUUCUAUGGACAGCAGGUUUUCCAUGCUUAAAGAUUGGGUUGGAUUCUUGGUUACCGCUCUCUGAAUCACACAAAUUUCCUUAUAUUCAACUUCGUACUCGGCAACAAACACAUUUUUGCUGCUUAUUCUAAUCUUGGGAAUACUGUCUCAAUCAAUUUCUUCAGCAUUUCAUUUAAAUAGCGUGUGUGUGUGUGUGUAUUUACCUAUUUGUAUUUACCUGUCUACCUUUACCUGUGUGUGUGUGUGUGUGUGUGUGUGUGCGUAGCCAAGCACAUCACACAAGUUUAGGCAGUGCAAUGUUCCCAGGGUCAUUCCUUCCUUCCUUCCUUCCUAGUGUUAGCAAGAGUGUCACGGAAGAGUUCCACAUCACUAACUCAACACCGUCAGCCACCACCUCCGCCACCGCCCAUCUCAGACCCCAAGCAAGAUGGACCGCCUCUGACCGAGAGCUCCGACGCAUGUAUAUACCUCGCCGCUGUCCCGUGAGUGAGUGUCGGUGUUUGUAUUUGCCGUAUGAGUGACCAAAUCACCAUAACCACCACCACCUCACCGUGUCUGUAAACUUUGCUGGUAAUAAAGCUCAUCUCAUCCA
This is an RNA transcript of Eriocheir sinensis (Chinese mitten crab), 6560 nucleotides long. It is a transcript of the gene named zinc finger protein 436-like, with no coding region annotated. The transcript is spliced from 6 exons. Lineage: Eukaryota; Metazoa; Arthropoda; Malacostraca; Decapoda; Varunidae. The record is from RefSeq and is a predicted model, not a curated record.